UCCUCACAAAAUGUAAACGAACAUGGAGUGAUGUCAGAUUUUAGUGGUUGUAGGAUUUAUUUUUUAUUUUUGGCAAAUGUGUCCAACAGUCUUCAACGAUGGACUUAGCAAGAGCGAAAGAUGAGGCGGAACCGUGGUGAAUAUUGUUUUUCACACAAGGCAGCUGAGACGGCUCCGUUAUAAGGCAGCAUUCACCGAGAAGGAGCGCAUCAACUUCAUAGCAGUGAUGUCCACCUUAUACAGACAUCAAGCGAGAGGGGAAUCACUCUGAGGAAAGAAAGAAGCAGCUAAUCAACAAAGAAGAUAGCGAAGCUGCAACGUUGGACUUUCGGAGACAUUUUCGCUCUGCUCUCUGUGAACCCGAACCGUUGAAACUGGAGGCCCCCCCCCCCCCCCCGCCACAUAGCUCACUGCAACAAUGUGGUGCAAAUUGCUAAGGAUAGACUUCAAUCCGGCUCUGAUUCGUGUGUGUGAGGGUCCGGGUCACGGCUCAGACGUUUGCCUCGGGUGCGAUAACUUACAGAGUCAGCGUGGCGGAAAGGUGGGUGAAAUAUGGAUACCACCCUAGCAGCGUUUCGACACAGCAGCCAGUCAAUUGACCUCAAAGGCCACUUAAAGAUUUGAGUGUGUAAUAUUUCAUCUGAUUGAAUUUACAUUAAAGCAGCCCUUUCCUGGCUAAUUCUUCAUUUAUUUGAAUUAAAUCACCAGAACGGGACUUAUGACUUUGUCUUUUACUCCAGCUGGAGCAAAUCUUGAGUAAUAACAUUGAGUACUCUUUGUUAUUGAUCAUUUUUCUUUUUUUAUUUCCACAAGGCAGAUUCAUAUAGAUGCUGGAGAAUACAAUAAAAUACCAUAAAGUUU
Long non-coding RNA from Austrofundulus limnaeus, 861 nucleotides. RefSeq lists it as uncharacterized. The transcript has 3 exons. The record is from RefSeq and is a predicted model, not a curated record. Lineage: Eukaryota; Metazoa; Chordata; Actinopteri; Cyprinodontiformes; Rivulidae.